This 529-nucleotide ribosomal RNA is filed under the name uncultured Nitrososphaerota archaeon. RNAcentral describes it as "bacterial SSU rRNA". It matches the Rfam family "Archaeal small subunit ribosomal RNA", at positions 452 to 981 of the family's 1478-position model. The record is from RNAcentral. Lineage: Archaea; Thermoproteati; Nitrososphaerota.
CUGGUGUCAGCCACCGCGGUAAUACCAGCACCUCGAGUGGUCAGGACGUUUAUUGGGCCUAAAGCAUCCGUAGCCGGCUCUGCAAGUCUUCGGUUAAAUCCACCUGCUCAACAGAUGGGCUGCUGGAGAUACUACAGAGCUAGGGAGUGGGAGAGGCAGACGGUAUUCAGUGGGUAGGGGUAAAAUCCUCUGAUCCAUUGAGGACCACCAGUGGCGAAGGCGGUCUGCCAGAACACGUUCGACGGUGAGGGAUGAAAGCUGGGGGAGCAAACCGGAUUAGAUACCCGGGUAGUCCCAGCUGUAAACGAUGCAAACUCGGUGAUGCAUUGGCUUAUGGCCAAUGCAGUGCCGCAGGGAAGCCGUUAAGUUUGCCGCCUGGGAAGUACGGACGCAAGUCUGAAACUUAAAGGAAUUGGCGGGGGAGCACCACAGGGGGUGAAGCCUGCGGUUCAAUUGGAGUCAACGCCAGGAAUCUUACCCGGGGAGACAGCAGAAUGAAGGUCAAGCUGAAGACUUUACCAGACAAGCU